Molecule: ribosomal RNA, 515 nt
Filed under: uncultured bacterium
Lineage: Bacteria
Description: bacterial SSU rRNA
Rfam family: Bacterial small subunit ribosomal RNA
Source: RNAcentral
GAUUCUGGCUCAGGAUGAGCGCUAGCUACAGGCUUAACACAUGCAAGUCGAGGGGCAGCAUGACGGAAGCUUGCUUCUGUCGAUGGCGACCGGCGCACGGGUGAGUAACGCGUAUCCAACCUGCCCGCUGCUCUGGGAUAGCCUCGUGAAAACGAGAUUAAUACCGGAUGGCCUUCAGAACCGACAUCGGUUUUGAAGUAAAGAUUUAUCGGCAGCGGAUGGGGAUGCGUUCCAUUAGGUUGUUGGCGGGUAACGGCCCACCAAGCCGACGAUGGAUAGGGGUUCUGAGAGGAAGGUCCCCCACAUUGGAACUGAGACACGGUCCAAACUCCUACGGGAGGCAGCAGUGAGGAAUAUUGGUCAAUGGGCGAGAGCCUGAACCAGCCAAGUAGCGUGAGGGGAAUGACUGCCCUAUGGGUUGUAAACCUCUUUUAUACGGGAAUAAAGUGCUCCACGUGUGGAGCUUUGCAUGUACCGUAAGAAUAAGCAUCGGCUAAUUCCGUGCCAGCCGCAGC